CCUCUGACGUUAGCGGCGGACGGGUGAGUAACACGUGGAUAACCUACCUAUAAGACUGGGAUAACUUCGGGAAACCGGAGCUAAUACCGGAUAACAUGUUGAACCGCAUGGUUCAACAGUGAAAGACGGUCUUGCUGUCACUUAUAGAUGGAUCCGCGCCGCAUUAGCUAGUUGGUAAGGUAACGGCUUACCAAGGCAACGAUGCGUAGCCGACCUGAGAGGGUGAUCGGCCACACUGGAACUGAGACACGGUCCAGACUCCUACGGGAGGCAGCAGUAGGGAAUCUUCCGCAAUGGGCGAAAGCCUGACGGAGCAACGCCGCGUGAGUGAAGAAGGUCUUCGGAUCGUAAAACUCUGUUAUUAGGGAAGAACAAAUGUGUAAGUAACUAUGCACGUCUUGACGGUACCUAAUCAGAAAGCCACGGCUAACUACGUGCCAGCAGCCGCGGUAAUACGUAGGUGGCAAGCGUUAUCCGGAAUUAUUGGGCGUAAAGCGCGCG
This 501-nucleotide ribosomal RNA is filed under the name Staphylococcus capitis. RNAcentral describes it as "bacterial SSU rRNA". It matches the Rfam family "Bacterial small subunit ribosomal RNA", at positions 83 to 571 of the family's 1533-position model. The record is from RNAcentral. Lineage: Bacteria; Bacillati; Bacillota; Bacilli; Caryophanales; Staphylococcaceae.